Molecule: long non-coding RNA, 849 nt
Filed under: Brassica rapa (field mustard)
Lineage: Eukaryota; Viridiplantae; Streptophyta; Magnoliopsida; Brassicales; Brassicaceae
Description: long non-coding RNA (BRAP_LNC004595)
Source: RNAcentral
GAAAAAUCCACCGCAAGAGGCAAACAACCACACAAGCAGACGCUAAGACCGUAAGAGAAGAAGACAGAGCUUGAAAAGGAAAUUAAAAAUAGUUACAGGAGAGACUCUGAACUAGUUGACACCGACAACCACCACCACACCGAGCUCAAAUAUAGAGAUCUAGAAAUAGACUUCCACCGGAGCAACUUUAAUUAAUCCACUCGGAAAAGGUCGCAAACAUGAUCGCUCGAGGAGAUCAUGAACCACGUUCAUCACUGGUAACUGACCUCGACCAAAUAGUUCUAGACCAUCAAAAAUCCCACACCUGAACCUGGCCCUAAAUUUUCCAAACCAUCCCAAACUAGAAUGUACCGAAAUCUCGGGUCCAGUAGUAUCCACCACGUUGUGAUGGAGACCGACCCCACUAAAACCUUCAGGACCAUCGCUAUGAGAACGACGUCAAGUGAGCUCUCACACUUUUUGUUUGUUCAGAUCUGCGACCUCCGAGACUAACUACACAAAGUACAAUAGAAAAAGAUAUAAGGAGAUCUGAACCGGCGAUGGCACUAAAAGAGCCGAGCGCUGCUCGUAGGAGAUCACAGAAGCCACACCUAAUUGAAAAAAAAAAUUGAAAUGAGAGAGAAAUGGUUUUUGAUCAAUUCACAUUGAUCUAAAUGCUUGCUUUUAGCCAAUAUGAAUUUUUUUUUGUUAUGGUUUUAGAGGCUUUUUCAUUGCACCAGUGUUAGAGAACUAAUGAAUUAAACAAAACACAAUUUCAAAGUUAACACACUGGUUCUCAAACAUCAUUUCCUCUCGUUCCAACAUCAAUCCUACGUGUUAAUUUUAGUUUCAAAACUUUUACAGGUUGGC